AUUGAACGCUGGCGGCAGGCUUAACACAUGCAAGUCGAGCGGGGUGAUGGUGCUUGCACUAUCACUUAGUGGCGGACGGGUGAGUAAUGCUUAGGAAUCUGCCUAUUAGUGGGGGACAACAUCUCGAAAGGGAUGCUAAUACCGCAUACGUCCUACGGGAGAAAGCAGGGGAUCACUUGUGACCUUGCGCUAAUAGAGGAGCCUAGGUCGGAUUAGCUAGUUGGUGGGGUAAAGGCCUACCAAGGCGACGAUCUGUAGCGGGUCUGAGAGGAUGAUCCGCCACACUGGGACUGGGACACGGCCCAGACUCCUACGGGAGGCAGCAGUGGGGAAUAUUGGACAAUGGGGGGAACCCUGAUCCAGCCAUGCCGCGUGUGUGAAGAAGGCCUUAUGGUUGUAAAGCACUUUAAGCGAGGAGGAGGCUCUUUUGGUUAAUACCCAAGAUGAGUGGACGUUACUCGCAGAAUAAGCACCGGCUAACUCUGUGCCAGCCGCCGCCGUAA
This 503-nucleotide ribosomal RNA is filed under the name uncultured bacterium. RNAcentral describes it as "partial 16S ribosomal RNA". It matches the Rfam family "Bacterial small subunit ribosomal RNA", at positions 30 to 523 of the family's 1533-position model. The record is from RNAcentral.